AUCGUAACAAGGUUUCCGUAGGUGAACCUGCGGAAGGAUCAUUAAAUAAUUUAGAUGGCCUUUGCUAGUUUUCUAGCGAAUGGUUCAUUCUUUUUUACUGUGAACUGUUUUAAUUUUUCAGCGUCUGAGGAAUGUCUUUUAGCCAUAGGGAUAGGCUACUAGAAUGUUAACCGAGCUGAAAGUCAGGCUUAGGCCUGGUAUCCUAUUAAUUAUUUACCAAAAGAAUUCAGUAUUAUAAUUGUAACAUAAGCGUAAAAAACUUAUAAAACAACUUUUAACAACGGAUCUCUUGGUUCUCGCAUCGAUGAAGAACGUAGCAAAGUGCGAUAACUAGUGUGAAUUGCAUAUUCAGUGAAUCAUCGAGUCUUUGAACGCAACUUGCGCUCAAUGGUAUUCCAUUGAGCACGCCUGUUUCAGUAUCAAAAACACCCCACAUUCAUAAUUUUGUUGUGAAUGGAAAUGAGAGUUUCGGCUUUAUUGCUGAAUUCUUUAAAAUUAUUAGGCCUGAACUAUUGUUCUUUCUGCCUGAACAUUUUUUUAAUAUAAAGGAAUGCUCUAGUAAAAAGACUAUCUCUGGGGCCUCCCAAAUAAAUC
Molecule: ribosomal RNA, 594 nt
Filed under: Mucor sp. FL-2014
Lineage: Eukaryota; Fungi; Mucoromycota; Mucoromycetes; Mucorales; Mucoraceae
Description: eukaryotic LSU rRNA
Rfam family: 5.8S ribosomal RNA (bases 270-422)
Source: RNAcentral